AAUGAACGCUGGCGGCAUGCCUAACACAUGCAAGUCGAACGAAGCCUUCGGGCUUAGUGGCGCACGGGUGCGUAACGCGUGGGAAUCUGCCCUUGGGUUCGGAAUAACAGUGGGAAACUACUGCUAAUACCGAAUGAUGUCGUAAGACCAAAGAUUUAUCGCCCAGGGAUGAGCCCGCGUAGGAUUAGCUAGUUGGUGUGGUAAAGGCGCACCAAGGCGACGAUCCUUAGCUGGUCUGAGAGGAUGAUCAGCCACACUGGGACUGAGACACGGCCCAGACUCCUACGGGAGGCGGCAGUGGGGAAUAUUGGACAAUGGGCGAAAGCCUGAUCCAGCAAUGCCGCGUGAGUGAUGAAGGCCUUAGGGUUGUAAAGCUCUUUUACCCGGGAUGAUAAUGACAGUACCGGGAGAAUAAGCUCCGGCUAACUCCGUGCCAGCCGCCGCGGUAAU
Molecule: ribosomal RNA, 450 nt
Filed under: uncultured bacterium
Lineage: Bacteria
Description: bacterial SSU rRNA
Rfam family: Bacterial small subunit ribosomal RNA
Source: RNAcentral